This 520-nucleotide ribosomal RNA is filed under the name uncultured bacterium. Its description in RNAcentral is "bacterial SSU rRNA". It matches the Rfam family "Bacterial small subunit ribosomal RNA", at positions 777 to 1297 of the family's 1533-position model. The record is from RNAcentral.
AAUAGAUACCCGGGUAGUCCACGCCGUAAACGAUGAGUGCUAAGUGUUAGAGGGUUUCCGCCCUUUAGUGCUGAAGUUAGCGCAUUAAGCACUCCGCCUGGGGAGUACGGCCGCAAGGCUGAAACUCAAAGGAAUUGACGGGGGCCCGCACAAGCGGUGGAGCAUGUGGUUUAAUUCGAAGCAACGCGAAGAACCUUACCAGGUCUUGACAUCCUCUGACAACCCUAGAGAUAGGGCUUCUCCUUCGGGAGCAGAGUGACAGGUGGUGCAUGGUUGUCGUCAGCUCGUGUCGUGAGAUGUUGGGUUAAGUCCCGCAACGAGCGCAACCCUUGAUCUUAGUUGCCAUCAUUAAGUUGGGCACUCUAAGGUGACUGCCGGUGACAAACCGGAGGAAGGUGGGGAUGACGUCAAAUCAUCAUGCCCCUUAUGACCUGGGCUACACACGUGCUACAAUGGACGGUACAAAGAGCUGCAAGACCGCGAGGUGGAGCUAAUCUCAUAAAACCGUUCUCAGUUCGGA